GAGAGAGAGAGAGAGAGAGAGAGAGAGGCAACGUCAGGUGACCCAGUUUAUUAUUUUGUUUAUAGCAAAUACAGUCGCAAAUAUAUUGUUUCAAUGUGUAGUUAAUGGUAUUAAUGUAUUGUAUAGUAUAUGAUUUUAAUCUAUUUUAAUCUAUAGUAAUGGUAUUUUACCCAUGUCUUACUUUGGGAUAUUUGUAACUUCUGCUGUCUUUAUUUUAGUAUUCUGGAAUACUAUGGUUUAUUUUGAAAAUGUUGCUCAGAUGUCGCAUGUAUUCCCAUUCUAGAUUGAUAGAUAGAAUUUACGGUAGCGUUCUUUGGCCCGCUGUCCAAAGAACAUAGAAAACAAUACGGAAUGCGAUCAUCUCAUGUGCGGUGGCACCACAAAGUAGAUUGCAGAAGUUAACUCAGCAGCAUGGACGCGUUCCAGGCAGUUACUGCGACCGCAAGGGGGUAAGUAUUACUAAAAAGAAGCACACAAGUUUCAAACUUGCCGAGUGGACAGUGAAGCAGAAAAUAGAUUUGUCAAAAAGUGUGAGGAAAAUAUGCACUGUCUGCCGACUCACAUUUUCCAUAGUCCAUGUGGAACUGACUCACCUUAAGCAACACGGUGGACACGAACGAAAAAACGCACAACUAAGCAAGGGGGAACCUGGAGAGAUCCAUCAGGCAACGACAAAGAUGAUUAUCCAGACAUCCCCAACGUCAAAGCAGCAGUAUCUUUGGCCUCAGCAUCCUUAUUUUCCAAUGGGAUUUGUGGACAGGAAUGUCUUUUUCGACAUGUUCCAACUUUAAACUGUUCAUCUCAUGCUUAAUAACUGUCGCUCAGCACUGACACCUGGUGGACGUUAUGUUGUCAUGCAGAUGUUAUUAUGCCUAAUAAGAACAGAUUCAGAUUUGAUUCUUAGUAGUUACCUUGCUGACUGUUUCUUGUUGACUAAUACUUCUUGCGUAUGUACUGUUUUUACUCGCUUAUUGGUUUUCUUGCUUACUGCUUUUUCUAAAAUGUACAUAUUCA
This is a long non-coding RNA of Syngnathus typhle (broad-nosed pipefish), 1014 nucleotides long. RefSeq lists it as uncharacterized. NCBI's taxonomy places the organism in Eukaryota, Metazoa, Chordata, Actinopteri, Syngnathiformes, Syngnathidae. The transcript has 2 exons. The record is from RefSeq and is a predicted model, not a curated record.